This 497-nucleotide ribosomal RNA is filed under the name uncultured bacterium. RNAcentral describes it as "partial 16S ribosomal RNA". It matches the Rfam family "Bacterial small subunit ribosomal RNA", at positions 28 to 507 of the family's 1533-position model. The record is from RNAcentral.
GAUGAACGCUGGCGGCGUGCCUAAUACAUGCAAGUCGAGCGAACGGACGAGAAGCUUGCUUCUCUGAUGUUAGCGGCGGACGGGUGAGUAACACGUGGAUAACCUACCUAUAAGACUGGGAUAACUUCGGGAAACCGGAGCUAAUACCGGAUGAUAUUUUGAACCGCAUGGUUCAAAAGUGAAAGACGGUCUUGCUGUCACUUAUAGAUGGAUCCGCGCUGCAUUAGCUAGUUGGUAAGGUAACGGCUUACCAAGGCAACGAUGCAUAGCCGACCUGAGAGGGUGAUCGGCCACACGGGAACUGAGACACGGUCCAGACUCCUACGGGAGGCAGCAGUAGGGAAUCUUCCGCAAUGGGCGAAAGCCUGACGGAGCAACGCCGCGUGAGUGAUGAAGGUCUUCGGAUCGUAAAGCUCUGUUAUUAGGGAAGAACAUAUGUGUAAGUAACUGUGCACAUCUUGACGGUACCUAAUCAGAAAGCCACGGCUAACUACGUG